UUCCAGAUUCUCGCAACGCAUCUCCACCACCUCCAAACUUUUGGAUUAUUAGGUUAAAUGUGAACAUUACUCAUUUGAUCCGAACUUGUGCUGCCGUUUCACAUGUUACAAGAACGGAUGUAUGGGAUUCUGCCGAUGUAUGGCAAAAGCAUCGAUCGAAUCCGAACAGCGCCAACCGGCCACCGUGGUGUAUGGUCUCAACGAACCUGCAAACCAAGAGAAACAGACGAAGCACAUCAAAAGCUCAACAGAGCUCAAUUCCAAAUCCUGAAUGUGCAGGAAUACCCGCACCUCAUAGUCAUAGUGUUCCAAAUCAUAUGAGCGACACCGUAUACGUUUCAUUGCUCGUGUGUGUUGACUGUGUGUAUGUGUGUAUGUCGGUCGGUGAAUGGUGAUGGUGGUGAUGGCAGAAAUCGUUGCACCCCAGCCUCCGUGAAUCCAAGUGAAGUGAUAGCAGACUAGCUCGCAAGUGAAUUGAACUGGAGCCAAUUGCUCAUUGGGUAAAUCGAAAACAAUGACCAAUUGAAGCAAUUUUUCCUAGUCCUUCCUUGAAAACAUUUUCCCUUUUCCACUCCUCUCCAACCCCAUCUAUACUAUUCAUAUUAUUUUCAUUUAGAGUAAGCAAAAAUCACACACAUCAAAAAAGAAAAUGAGUUGAAAUAAAAACAAUCGAAAAUAA
Molecule: long non-coding RNA, 679 nt
Organism: Ochlerotatus camptorhynchus
Lineage: Eukaryota; Metazoa; Arthropoda; Insecta; Diptera; Culicidae
Exons: 2
Source: RefSeq, a predicted model, not a curated record